CACAGGCAUACUACCUCUACCUGCCAUGUGGAUUUUGAUGCAGGGGCAAGAUACCAUGGAUCUUGGGGAGAUUUAAGCUCUUUAAUUGCUACGUAUUGCAUUUGUUCAGUAGGAUCUUCCUUACCGUGGAUCUUGCAUGAAAUUUGCUGGUAGGAAUGCACAUCUUAAUUAACAGAUUGUGUUGUUUAUUAGUUUGGGUAAUGGUCAAAGAUUAAGGGAAAAAAUUGAGCAUAGAAGAGAGAGUUUUACAAGUUUUCGUAUAUUACAUUUUAGGGAGUCACAAUAUAGUUAAUUUUAGGUAGGAGGAAUCAAGAAAGUGUCAUGUGGUUUAAAAUAGAAAAUUGCAUCCUUGUAGAGAAGUGUCUGUGGAAUUAGUUAAAAACAUACACUUAGUCUAGCUGAGUGGUUUUUGUUACUGGUUCUUGCUUCUGGGGUAUGCAGAUUAGUGUUGGUUAGAUGAUAUGUGAAACAAAUACUUCAUUUUCCGUGUUCUCAGGAGUUCAUUUGCUGGCUUGGACAGACUAUCUGAAUAUUUGCUAAGUUUCACUUUUGGAAGCCAAUAAUUUUUUUCUUCAUUGUAUGAACAACUAAAACUGAAUAAGCAGUUGGAAGUAAUCAGAUUGUUGUUGGCUGGUGAAUGUGAUUUGUAGUUCAUGAAAAUAUAUAGCAUAUCCAUCCAAAUAUAUCUGACAGCAGGACUAUGAAUUGUGCUAACAAGUAGAAAAAGAGAGUUUUUAUUUGUUGUUGCAUACUUAUCAUGUCAAAUAUCAGGUUUUUAUUUGUUGUAAUUGCUUACUGAUCAUGUCAAACUUCUUGUUUUUUUUCCAUGUAAUAAUGAGAAUGGAAGGAGAUGAGUAUUUCACUAGCUUGAUGAAUGAUGACAGCACUGCACUGAGUCGGGAACUUGGGGUUCUCUGAAUAGCCAGACAAAAUUGCAGCCUUUGCUGAUCGUCGAAAGUACUCUGUCAAUGGUUGUCAUGGCUGGGUAGCAGCAAUCUUGUAUUAUCUUAAUACUAACUGGUUGCACUUGCAAAUAUCUUCAGAGAUGAGCUAGGAAGCACUAUCAUGUAGAUGGGUGAUAGGAGGACCGGAGGAGGCUUGCAUUCAUAUUAUCAACUAUUGGGAUGAAUCUGAGAUAUGUUUCUCAAGCUUCAAAAUGAUAAUAUAACGACAUUAGUUAAACUGGUCUUUAGCAAUGUAUGAAUCUAUCUAAAGGCUACAUAAUUCAGUUUUUUGUAUGGAGGGAGUUUUAGAAUCCAUUUCAGUGUGAUAAUUCUCUCUUGUACCUUUCUUUUAUGCAUAUAUUCAGAUUAUUUGUAAUAUGAUGUUUACUACCGUGAAUAUUGAGUAUUGGACUCAAUGUUCAAUGGAAACCCAUUUUUCAUGUUAUAUAUUCA
This is a long non-coding RNA of Oryza sativa Japonica Group (Japanese rice), 1397 nucleotides long. RefSeq lists it as uncharacterized. NCBI's taxonomy places the organism in Eukaryota, Viridiplantae, Streptophyta, Magnoliopsida, Poales, Poaceae. The record is from RefSeq and is a predicted model, not a curated record.